RNAcentral lists this ribosomal RNA (447 nucleotides) under Stenotrophomonas sp. RNAcentral describes it as "bacterial SSU rRNA". It matches the Rfam family "Bacterial small subunit ribosomal RNA", at positions 347 to 786 of the family's 1533-position model. Lineage: Bacteria; Pseudomonadati; Pseudomonadota; Gammaproteobacteria; Lysobacterales; Lysobacteraceae. The record is from RNAcentral.
GGCAGCAGUGGGGAAUAUUGGACAAUGGGCGCAAGCCUGAUCCAGCCAUACCGCGUGGGUGAAGAAGGCCUUCGGGUUGUAAAGCCCUUUUGUUGGGAAAGAAAUCCAGCUGGCUAAUACCCGGUUGGGAUGACGGUACCCAAAGAAUAAGCACCGGCUAACUUCGUGCCAGCAGCCGCGGUAAUACGAAGGGUGCAAGCGUUACUCGGAAUUACUGGGCGUAAAGCGUGCGUAGGUGGUCGUUUAAGUCCGUUGUGAAAGCCCUGGGCUCAACCUGGGAACUGCAGUGGAUACUGGGCGACUAGAAUGUGGUAGAGGGUAGCGGAAUUCCUGGUGUAGCAGUGAAAUGCGUAGAGAUCAGGAGGAACAUCCAUGGCGAAGGCAGCUACCUGGACCAACAUUGACACUGAGGCACGAAAGCGUGGGGAGCAAACAGGAUUAGAUACC